This 428-nucleotide ribosomal RNA is filed under the name uncultured bacterium. RNAcentral describes it as "bacterial SSU rRNA". It matches the Rfam family "Bacterial small subunit ribosomal RNA", at positions 354 to 796 of the family's 1533-position model. The record is from RNAcentral.
GUAGGGAAUAUUGCACAAUGGAGGAAACUCUGAUGCAGCGACGCCGCGUGAGUGAUGAAGGCCUUCGGGUCGUAAAGCUCUGUCGCAGGGGAAUAACACAAUGAAGGUACCCUGUAAGAAAGGAUCGGCUAACUUCGUGCCAGCAGCAGCGGUAAGACGAGGGAUCCUAGCGUUGUUCGGAAUCAUUGGGCGUAAAGCGGAUGUAGGUGGCUAUGUAAGUCAGAUGUGAAAGCCUGGGGCUCAACCCCAGAAGUGCAUUUGAUACUGCGUAGCUUGAGUGUCGGAGAGGUUACUAGAAUUGUUGGUGUAGUGGUGAAAUACGUAGAUAUCAACAGGAAUACCGGAGGCGAAGGCGGGUAACUGGCCGAACACUGACACUGAGAUCCGAAAGCGUGGGGAUCAAACAGGAUUAGAUACCCCAGUAGUCC